RNAcentral lists this ribosomal RNA (689 nucleotides) under uncultured Nitrososphaerota archaeon. RNAcentral's name for it is "bacterial SSU rRNA". It matches the Rfam family "Archaeal small subunit ribosomal RNA", at positions 64 to 757 of the family's 1478-position model. The record is from RNAcentral. Lineage: Archaea; Thermoproteati; Nitrososphaerota.
GUAUGAAUAAUACGUGGCACACGGCUCAGUAACACGUAGUCAACAUGCCCAGAGGACGUGGAUAACCUCGGGAAACUGAGGAUAAACCGCGAUAAGCCAUAAUUACUGGAAUGGGUUAUGGCUUAAACCUAUAUGGCCUCUGGAUUGGACUGCGGCCGAUCAGGCUGUUGGUGAGGUAAUGGCCCACCAAACCUGUUACCGGUACGGGCUCUGAGAGGAGGAGCCCGGAGAUGGGCACUGAGACAAGGGCCCAGGCCCUAUGGGGCGCAGCAGGCGCGAAACCUCUGCAAUAGGCGAAAGCCUGACAGGGUUACUCUGAGUGAUUCCCGCUAAGGGGAUCUUUUGGCACCUCUAAAAAUGGUGCAGAAUAAGGGGUGGGCAAGUCUGGUGUCAGCCGCCGCGGUAAUACCAGCACCCCGAGUGGUCGGGACGAUUAUUGGGCCUAAAGCAUCCGUAGCCGGUCAUGCAAGUCCUCCGUUAAAUCCACCUGCUCAACAGAUGGGCUGCGGAGGAUACUACAAGGCUAGGAGGCGGAAGAGGCAAGCGGUACUCAGUGGGUAGGGGUAAAAUCCUCUGAUCCAUUGAAGACCACCAGUGGCGAAGGCGGCUUGCCAAUACGCGCUCGACGGUGAGGGAUGAAAGCUGGGGGAGCAAACCGGAUUAGAUACCCGGGUAGUCCCAGCUGUAAA